UCUCCGUUGGUGAACCAGCGGAGGGAUCAUUACCGAGUUUACAACUCCCAAACCCCUUUGAACAUACCAUUUGUUUCCUCGGCGGUGCCUGCUUCGGCAGCCCGCCAGAGGACCCAAACCCUUGAUUUUAUACAGUAUCUUCUGAGUAAAUGAUUAAAUAAAUAAAAACUUUCAACAACGGAUCUCUUGGUUCUG
Molecule: unclassified non-coding RNA, 195 nt
Filed under: plant metagenome
Description: partial contains small subunit ribosomal RNA, internal transcribed spacer 1, and 5.8S ribosomal RNA
Source: RNAcentral